GGCUGCUAAGCGGAUUAAAGAUACUCUGUUCGCUGCUCGAAAUGUUGGUAAAAUGCCGGAGUGGUUAAGAGAAGAUGUUUGGGAUAAACUUCUUGAGAAAUGGAAUACCGUAGAAUGGAAGAACAAGAGUGAACAAGCAAAGGCAAACCGUGCCUCCAAUAAAGGUGGCUCAUUGCACACAGGAGGAAUAGGAAAGAGGGCGAGAUAUGAGUAACGCUGAGGUCUUCGAGGAGACGCAUAAGGAAAAAAAAAAAGAAGGAUGGUACAAGAGAACACUGGAUGGAUACGUGUGUGUCAGACACAUGGUGGGAAAAUUGCAACAAACUCAGCCGCAUUCAACUCAACCAACGCCUAAUGGUAUGGCAUCAUUAUGGACAGACGCAGCG
Non-coding RNA from Nicotiana tabacum (common tobacco), 386 nucleotides. The record is from RefSeq and is a predicted model, not a curated record. NCBI's taxonomy places the organism in Eukaryota, Viridiplantae, Streptophyta, Magnoliopsida, Solanales, Solanaceae.